RNAcentral lists this ribosomal RNA (473 nucleotides) under uncultured organism. RNAcentral describes it as "partial 16S ribosomal RNA". It matches the Rfam family "Bacterial small subunit ribosomal RNA", at positions 332 to 797 of the family's 1533-position model. The record is from RNAcentral.
UACACUCCUGCGGGAGGCAGCAGUGGGGAAUUUUGGACAAUGGGCGAAAGCCUGAUCCAGCAAUGCCGCGUGAGUGAAGAAGGCCUUCGGGUUGUAAAGCUCUUUUGUCAGGGAAGAAACGGUGAAAGCUAAUAUCUUUUGCUAAUGACGGUACCUGAAGAAUAAGCAUCGGCUAACUACGUGCCAGCAGCCGCGGUAAUACGUAGGGUGCAAGCGUUAAUCGGAAUUACUGGGCGUAAAGCGUGCGCAGGCGGUUUUGUAAGUCUGAUGUGAAAUCCCCGGGCUCAACCUGGGAAUUGCAUUGGAGACUGCAAGGCUAGAAUCUGGCAGAGGGGGGUAGAAUUCCACGUGUAGCAGUGAAAUGCGUAGAUAUGUGGAGGAACACCGAUGGCGAAGGCGGCCCCCUGGGUCAAGAUUGACGCUCAUGCACGAAAGCGUGGGGAGCAAACAGGAUUAGAAACCCCUGUAGUCCC